RNAcentral lists this small nuclear RNA (114 nucleotides) under Varanus komodoensis (Komodo dragon). Its description in RNAcentral is "U2 spliceosomal RNA (ENSVKKG00000010317.1)". It matches the Rfam family "U2 spliceosomal RNA". From Rfam's summary of the family: U2 is a small nuclear RNA (snRNA) component of the spliceosome (involved in pre-mRNA splicing). Complementary binding between U2 snRNA (in an area lying towards the 5' end but 3' to hairpin I) and the branchpoint sequence (BPS) of the intron results the bulging out of an unpaired adenosine, on the BPS, which initiates a nucleophilic attack at the intronic 5' splice site, thus starting the first of two transesterification reactions that mediate splicing. The record is from Rfam by way of RNAcentral. Lineage: Eukaryota; Metazoa; Chordata; Lepidosauria; Squamata; Varanidae.
AAACCUUAACCUCUUGGCUAACAUCAAGUGUAGUAUCUGUUCUUAUCAGUUUAAUAUCUGGUAUGUCCUUUAUUUGAGCACUAUAUAUUAAAUGGCAAUGCUGUGCCAUUUUUA